GAGCAGACGUGAUUUAGCGGCGGUGAACCACAGCGAUGAUUUCAGGAAGAUGACAUCCCUGUUAUACAUUUGAUGGCAAAACUGCAUCAGUGGAGGAGACGUGUCAGGGCCAAGUGGUUAAAGUACAAACAACAAUGGCCUCGCUCCACUGGCAGAGGAUUUGGGGACGGUUCAGAACAACUCCACAGAAAACCUUCCUAAGUAAAUCUGUAUGAUAUGAUUUAUAUCAGUACAUCUAAACAUACGUCUGGCCAUCUUCAGCCUGAUCAGAGGUCUAACCAGCCAGAAGAAGCAUAAACACCAGUGCUGAUGAGCAGGACCUUUAUUGGAAGUGAGCCACAGUUAGACGUGUGUGACUCUGCUGCCCUCUAGUGGCUCCAAACACACUCUGCAGCUGCACCGGCGGUCAAAACCCUUGAUUUCUCUUGCAUCAUAAAGAGAUGGGA
This is a long non-coding RNA of Acanthopagrus latus (yellowfin seabream), 446 nucleotides long. RefSeq lists it as uncharacterized. The record is from RefSeq and is a predicted model, not a curated record. Lineage: Eukaryota; Metazoa; Chordata; Actinopteri; Spariformes; Sparidae. The transcript is spliced from 3 exons.